RNAcentral lists this ribosomal RNA (465 nucleotides) under uncultured bacterium. RNAcentral's name for it is "partial 16S ribosomal RNA". It matches the Rfam family "Bacterial small subunit ribosomal RNA", at positions 338 to 795 of the family's 1533-position model. The record is from RNAcentral.
CCUACGGGGGGCAGCAGUGGGGAAUAUUGCGCAAUGGGCGAAAGCCUGACGCAGCGACGCCGCGUGAGGGAUGAAGGUCUUCGGAUCGUAAACCUCUGUCAGCAGGGAAGAACGGUCCCUGUGCUAAUCAGCAGUGACUUGACGGUACCUGCACAGGAAGCACUGGCUAACUACGUGCCAGCAGCCGAGGUAAUACGGAGGGUGCGAGAGUUAGUCGGAAUUACUGGGCGUAAAGCGCUCGUAGGCGGUAGGUCAAGUCAAGGGUGAAAUCCCCGGGCUCAACGUCGGAACUGCCUUUGAAACUGUCAAACUGGAGUGUGGGAGAGGAUAGUGGAAUUCCAGGUGUAGGAGUGAAAUCCGUAGAUAUCUGGAGGAACAUCAGUGGCGAAGGCGACUAUCUGGCACAUAACUGACGCUGAGGAGCGAAAGCGUGGGUAGCAAACAGGAUUAGAUACCCCAGUAGUC